CAGUCGCCGCGGGAAAACGAAGGGGGCUAGCGUUGCUCGGAACCACUGGGCGUAAAGGGUGCGUAGGCGGGUCUUUAAGUCAGAGGUGAAAUCCUGGAGCUCAACUCCAGAACUGCCUUUGAUACUGAGGAUCUUGAGUUCGGGAGAGGUGAGUGGAACUGCGAGUGUAGAGGUGAAAUUCGUAGAUAUUCGCAAGAACACCAGUGGCGAAGGCGGCUCACUGGCCCGAUACUGACGCUGAGGCACGAAAGCGUGGGGAGCAAACAGGAUUAGAUACCCCGGUAGUCCCUGUCUCUUAUAC
This 301-nucleotide ribosomal RNA is filed under the name uncultured bacterium. RNAcentral describes it as "partial 16S ribosomal RNA". It matches the Rfam family "Bacterial small subunit ribosomal RNA", at positions 509 to 807 of the family's 1533-position model. The record is from RNAcentral.